RNAcentral lists this microRNA precursor (105 nucleotides) under Marmota monax (woodchuck). Lineage: Eukaryota; Metazoa; Chordata; Mammalia; Rodentia; Sciuridae. The record is from RNAcentral.
AGUGCAAUUGCUGGGUUAUAAUAGUAACUAUGUUUAACCUUUUGCGGGGCUGCCAGAGACUGUGUUCCAAAGGUAACUGUACCAUUUUACAUUUCCAACAGCAGU